AAAUUAGAAAGCGAAUAAUCGCAAUUAGUUUCGACCUAAUUUAUUAGGCUAGCAGCCUUCUAAUUUU
This 67-nucleotide transfer RNA is filed under the name Pinnotheres excussus. RNAcentral's name for it is "tRNA-Arg". Lineage: Eukaryota; Metazoa; Arthropoda; Malacostraca; Decapoda; Pinnotheridae. The record is from RNAcentral.